This 621-nucleotide ribosomal RNA is filed under the name Macrobrachium nr. gracilirostre MB-2009. RNAcentral describes it as "eukaryotic LSU rRNA". It matches the Rfam family "Eukaryotic large subunit ribosomal RNA", at positions 658 to 1119 of the family's 3401-position model. Lineage: Eukaryota; Metazoa; Arthropoda; Malacostraca; Decapoda; Palaemonidae. The record is from RNAcentral.
AGCACGGACCAAGGAGUCCAACAUGUGCGCGAGUCUAAGGGUGGUCUAAACCCGGAGGCGAAAUGAAAGUGAGCUCCUUGUGGGCAGGCCGAUCCCCUGUCCUGGCCUGGGCCGUGUCGGAACUCCGUGAGUGAAUUUCCGGGGGGAAGGCGGUGGCUGGAGGCUGGGGCAGCAGCUGCGCCCUUGCGGUGCAGUUGAGGGGGCGCAGGCCGAGGACUUGCCGUAGUGCGGCGCGGGCAACGGGCUGGCUUCGGUCACCUUAUCCCGAGGUCCGCCGGCAAGUACCUGAGAGCGCAGCCGUUGGGACCCGAAAGAUGGUGAACUAUGCCUGGCGAGGACGAAGCCAGAGGAAACUCUGGUGGAGGUCCGAAGCAGUUCUGACGUGCAAAUCGAUUGUCAGAGCUGGGUAUAGGGGCGAAAGACUAAUCGAACCAUCUAGUAGCUGGUUCCCUCCGAAGUUUCCCUCAGGAUAGCUGGCGUUGGGAUGGGAUGAGUUUCAUCCGGUAAAGCGAAUGAUUAGAGGCCUUGGUGGUGCAAUGCCGUCAACCUAUUCUCAAACUUUAAAUGGGUGAGACGUAKAGCUUGCUUGAKACGUGAAGCUUUAUGUGAAUUGAAUCAGAA